UAACCUGCCCAAGAGAUCGGGAUAACACCUGGAAACAGAUGCUAAUACCGGAUAACAACAGAUGAUGCCUAUCAACUGUUUAAAAGAUGGUUCUGCUAUCACUCUUGGAUGGACCUGCGGUGCAUUAGCUAGUUGGUAGGGUAACGGCCUACCAAGGCGAUGAUGCAUAGCCGAGUUGAGAGACUGAUCCGGCCACAGUUGGGACUGAGACACCGGACCCAAACUCCUACGGGAGGCAGCAGCU
Molecule: ribosomal RNA, 244 nt
Filed under: uncultured Lactobacillus sp.
Lineage: Bacteria; Bacillati; Bacillota; Bacilli; Lactobacillales; Lactobacillaceae
Description: partial 16S ribosomal RNA
Rfam family: Bacterial small subunit ribosomal RNA
Source: RNAcentral